GACGUAGGGCGCGAGCGUUGUCCGGAUUUAUUGGGCGUAAAGAGCUCGUAGGCGGCUUGUUGCGUCGACCGUGAAAACACGGGGCUUAACCCCGUGCCUGCUUCCGAUACGGGCAGACUAGAGGUAUGCAGGGGAGAACGGAAUUCCUGGUGGAGCGGUGAAAUGCGCAGAUAUCAGGAGGAACACCGGUGGCGAAGGCGGUUCUCUGGGCAUUACCUGACGCUGAGGAGCGAAAGUGUGGGGAGCGAACAGG
RNAcentral lists this ribosomal RNA (253 nucleotides) under uncultured bacterium. Its description in RNAcentral is "partial 16S ribosomal RNA". It matches the Rfam family "Bacterial small subunit ribosomal RNA", at positions 524 to 776 of the family's 1533-position model. The record is from RNAcentral.